RNAcentral lists this ribosomal RNA (116 nucleotides) under Oncorhynchus kisutch (coho salmon). RNAcentral describes it as "partial 12S ribosomal RNA". The record is from RNAcentral. Lineage: Eukaryota; Metazoa; Chordata; Actinopteri; Salmoniformes; Salmonidae.
UCUAGAACCGAUAACCCCCGUUCAACCUCACCACCUCUUGUUUUACCCGCCUAUAUACCACCGUCGUCAGCUUACCCUGUGAAGGCCCCAUAGUAAGCAAAAUGGACAAAACCCAA